RNAcentral lists this ribosomal RNA (599 nucleotides) under uncultured bacterium. RNAcentral's name for it is "bacterial SSU rRNA". It matches the Rfam family "Bacterial small subunit ribosomal RNA", at positions 338 to 949 of the family's 1533-position model. The record is from RNAcentral.
CCUACGGGAGGCAGCAGUAGGGAAUUUUCCGCAAUGGGCGAAAGCCUGACGGAGCAAUACCGCGUGAGGGAUGACGGCCUGUGGGUUGUAAACCUCUUUUCUCAAGGAAGAAGUUCUGACGGUACUUGAGGAAUAAGCAUCGGCUAACUCUGUGCCAGCAGCCGCGGUAAUACAGAGGAUGCAAGCGUUAUCCGGAAUCACUGGGCAUAAAGCGUCUGUAGGUUGUUUAGUAAGUCUGCUGUUAAAGACUGGGGCUUAACCCCAGAAAAGCAGUGGAAACUGCUAGACUCGAGUGUGGUAGAGGUAGAGGGAAUUCCUAGUGUAACGGUGAAAUGCGUAGAUAUUAGGAAGAACACCAACGGCGAAGGCACUCUACUGGGCCAUAACUGACACUGAGAGACGACAGCUAGGGGAGACGAAACGGGUAUUAGACUACCCGGUAGUCCUAGACCGUAAACGAUGGAUACUAGAUGUUGCACGUAUUAACCCGUGCAGUAUCGUAGCUAAGGCGUUAAGUAUCCCGCCUGGGAAGUACGCUCGCAAGAGAGACGACGAAGAAGUAAGUAGNGUUGAGAGUUGCGAGCGACGACGAGGGAGAG